GACGAACGCUGGCGGCGUGCUUAACACAUGCAAGUCGAACGGAAAGGCCCUGCUUUUGUGGGGUGCUCGAGUGGCGAACGGGUGAGUAACACGUGAGUAACCUGCCCUUGACUUUGGGAUAACUUCAGGAAACUGGGGCUAAUACCGGAUAGGAGCUCCUGCUGCAUGGUGGGGGUUGGAAAGUUUCGGCGGUUGGGGAUGGACUCGCGGCUUAUCAGCUUGUUGGUGGGGUAGUGGCUUACCAAGGCUUUGACGGGUAGCCGGCCUGAGAGGGUGACCGGCCACAUUGGGACUGAGAUACGGCCCAGACUCCUACGGGAGGCAGCAGUGGGGAAUACUGCACAAUGGGCGGAAGCCUGAUGCGGCAACGCCGCGUGCGGGAUGACGGCCUUCGGGUUGUAAACCGCUUUCGCCUGUGACGAAGCGUGAGUGACGGUAAUGGGUAAAGAAGCACCGGCUAACUACGUG
This 468-nucleotide ribosomal RNA is filed under the name uncultured bacterium. Its description in RNAcentral is "partial 16S ribosomal RNA". It matches the Rfam family "Bacterial small subunit ribosomal RNA", at positions 28 to 507 of the family's 1533-position model. The record is from RNAcentral.